This 602-nucleotide ribosomal RNA is filed under the name Leptonia omphalinoides. RNAcentral describes it as "LSU rRNA". It matches the Rfam family "Eukaryotic large subunit ribosomal RNA", at positions 62 to 647 of the family's 3401-position model. Lineage: Eukaryota; Fungi; Basidiomycota; Agaricomycetes; Agaricales; Entolomataceae. The record is from RNAcentral.
AAACUAACAAGGAUUCCCCUAGUAACUGCGAGUGAAGCGGGAAAAGCUCAAAUUUAAAAUCUGAUGGUCUUUGACUAUCCGAGUUGUAAUCUAGAGAAGYGUCAUCCGUGCUGGACCGUGUACAAGUCUCCUGGAAUGGAGCGUCACAGAGGGUGAGAAUCCCGUCUUUGACACGGACUCCCAGGACAUUGUGAUGUGCUCUCAAAGAGUCGAGUUGUUUGGGAAUGCAGCUCUAAAUGGGUGGUAAAUUCCAUCUAAAGCUAAAUAUUGGCGAGAGACCGAUAGCGAACAAGUACCGUGAGGGAAAGAUGAAAAGAACUUUGGAAAGAGAGUUAAACAGUACGUGAAAUUGUUGAAAGGGAAACGCUUGAAGUCAGUCACAUUGGCCAGGAAUCAGCCUUGCUUUUGCUUGGUGUACUUCUUGGUCAAUGGGUCAGCAUCAAUUUUGACCAGUGGAAAAAGGUCAAGGGAAUGUGGCAUCUUCGGAUGUGUUAUAGCCUUUGGUCACAUACAUUGGUUGGGAUUGAGGAACUCAGCAUGCCGCAAGGCCGGGUUUUUAACCACGUUCGUGCUUAGGAUGCUGGCAUAAUGGCUUUAAUCGA